RNAcentral lists this ribosomal RNA (253 nucleotides) under uncultured bacterium. RNAcentral's name for it is "partial 16S ribosomal RNA". It matches the Rfam family "Bacterial small subunit ribosomal RNA", at positions 524 to 776 of the family's 1533-position model. The record is from RNAcentral.
UACGGGGGGGGCAAGCGUUGUUCGGAAUUACUGGGCGUAAAGGGCUCGUAGGCGGCCAACUAAGUCAGACGUGAAAUCCCUCGGCUUAACCGGGGAACUGCGUCUGAUACUGGAUGGCUUGAGUGUGGGAGAGGGAUGCGGAAUUCCAGGUGUAGCGGUGAAAUGCGCAGAUAUCAGGAAGAACACCUAUGGCGAAGGCAGCUCUCUGGGACGGUACUGACGCUGAGACGCGAAAGCGUGGGGAGCGAACAGG